This 502-nucleotide ribosomal RNA is filed under the name Teleopsis dalmanni. RNAcentral's name for it is "partial 16S ribosomal RNA". The stretch from base 259 to 417 matches the Rfam family "Bacterial large subunit ribosomal RNA", at positions 2473 to 2632 of the family's 2925-position model. Lineage: Eukaryota; Metazoa; Arthropoda; Insecta; Diptera; Diopsidae. The record is from RNAcentral.
AUAUAAGCUGUUUCAUUUAAAAUUUAUAUAGAAUUUUAUUUUUUAGUUAAAAAGCUAAAAUAUGAUCAAAAGACGAGAAGACCCUAUAAAUCUUAAUUAUUUAAUAAUUUUUAAUUUAUUUUGGUUUUUUUUGUUAUAAAUUUAUUAAAUAAUUUUAUUGGGGUGAUAUUAAAAUUUAAAUAACUUUUAAUAAUUUUUGUCAUUUAUUUAUGAUUAAGUGAUCCAUUAUUAGUGAUUAAAAAAUUAAGUUACUUUAGGGAUAACAGCGUAAUUUUUUUGGAGAGUUCUUAUCGAUAAAAAAGUUUGCGACCUCGAUGUUGGAUUAAGAUUCAUAUUUAAAUGCAGAAGUUUAAAUAUUAAGUCUGUUCGACUUUUUAUUCUUACAUGAUCUGAGUUCAAACCGGUGUAAGCCAGGUUGGUUUCUAUCUUUGAUUUAAUAAAAUAUUUUAGUACGAAAGGAAUUAAUAUUUAUUUUUAAGAAAUUAUUUUAUGAAUGAAUUUA